Molecule: unclassified non-coding RNA, 293 nt
Filed under: uncultured fungus
Lineage: Eukaryota; Fungi
Description: sequence contains ITS1
Rfam family: 5.8S ribosomal RNA (bases 1-104)
Source: RNAcentral
GAAAUGCGAUAAGUAAUGUGAAUUGCAGAUACCGUGAAUCAUCAAAUCUUUGAACGCACAUUGCACUGCCUGGAACUCCGGGCAGUAUACCUGUUUGAGCAUCAGUAACCCUGUGACGACGCUACAUUACUGAGUAGCGCGACGAAGUGAGUGUUCACGCAGCGAUGCGUGUUGCUUUAAAUUCCACAAUGUUGUUAACAGCGCAGAGUUAAUAGGUUUCUCCCCUAAGCCUGCUGCUGUACCUCAUAAUUUACAUAGAUCUCAAAUCAGGUAAGGCCACCCGCUGAACUUAA